Molecule: long non-coding RNA, 3201 nt
Filed under: Homo sapiens (human)
Lineage: Eukaryota; Metazoa; Chordata; Mammalia; Primates; Hominidae
Description: non-protein coding FLVCR1-DT:23
Source: RNAcentral
GCUGGCUGACAUUUUCCUGCCCGGAAGGAUGCAUGGCCCGGGGUCUCCUGCACCUGAGGGUGGGCGGGAGGCGGCCCCGCGGGUUGUGUUGCUGGAAAAAGGGGUCUCGAUCCAGACCCCAAGAGAGGGUUCUUGGGUCUACUUCAGGGAAGAAUUGGAGGCGAGUCACAGAGCGCAGUGAAGGAAGCAAGUUUAUUGGAAUCUACUCCGUUAGAGAGUGCAAGUCCUCAGACUGCAGGAGGAGGAACUCCCGUCCUUCGGUAGUGUCACUACUUAGAGGCAGCUGUGAGGAGCUGUGAUUAAUCGUGGAAUGUGCUGAUGUGCCCACUAAAGGUAGGGGCUGUUGGUGCACUAAUGACCAUUAAUCCUUCAACCUAAGCCUGCGCAUUGACGUUAUCUCUGAGUAGAGGGCUGGGCCGGGCUCGGUGGCCACGUCUGUAAUCCCAGCACUGUGGGAGGCCGGACAGGAGUCUCCCUUGAGCCCAGGAGUUCGAGACCAGCCUGGGCAACAUACUGAGAUGCCAUCUAUUUAAAAAAAAAAAAAAAAAAAAAAAAGCCAGUAGCCAGGCGUGGUGGUGCAUGCCUGUAGUCCCAGCUACUCAGGAGGCUGAGGCAGGAGAACUACUUGAACCUGGGAGGCGGAGGUUGCAGUGAGCUGAGAUCGCACCACACUGCCCUCCAGCCUAGCCUGGGCGACAAAGUGAGACCUUGUCUAAAAAAAAAAAAAAAACUCAGGACAUCUGGACAAUUCCGCAGACUUGGUGGGAGAUGUCCUGUAUGGCCAUAAAUAUUGUGUAAUUAUAAUUGUUGGUCAGCUUAGAAUGCGGCUAUUUUCAGACCUUUAGCAUUAACCUUAUAGGUGCCUUGUGAGUGCCUAGUUACUCACUUUAACAUGCAGUCGCUCUAGCCAUGUUUUAUUAAACCAGAUGCCUGGUAAGCAGUGGCUCCUCUAACAAGUGGGCAGCUUGGAACUGGGAACGAGAGAGCCACCGAAACAGAAUGAGGGAGACAAAGAAGUGGGCAUCACCCUUAACUCCACAAGGGCUUCCCAAGGGCGCUGUACCGUACGCAGGCCCAGGACGAACUUUAUUUCUCGCCCCAGCAUCGCUGUCCUUGUCGGUGAGACCCUGGCUUUAGGGCAGACAGGACCACGUUUCAUAAGUUCAUGCUGUCCCAGCAGAGGAAUAACGCCAGAAAGUGUUCCAGUACAACCAGAGAAAGAGAGUCCAUGAGAAAUCUGCCCUUGUGAAGUUGGAAUCCCCUCAACCUCACCCCGCUGACUUGAAUGAAGCGACUGAGACGGGCUAUGAUGGAGCAGAUCCGGUUGCUCGACCUUCUCCCUUGCACCAACACAUGUAGUUAAUAGUUACUGGACAUGCAUAUUCAGUGGGUUCCAGGUACCAAACUUGUAUUGAAUGGUAUGUGCCAGACACCGUCUUGAGAUCUGGAGAAUAAAAAAAUAAAAAAAUAAAAACGAGACAUCCAGAGCACAGUAGCCUUGCGGUCUUCCUGGAACUAGAGAAAAUUCAGCCCUUCUGCUCCUUGGGAAGCUAUGUUUGGGAAAAAAAAAAAAAGAGAGAGAGAGAGACUCCAAAGAGUUUGUUAUUAAAUUUAAGUUCAAACUAGGUGUAUAUAGUACAAAAGUUCUUACCAUGCAUUUAAUCUUAAAAUGUGCUGAUAUCUAGAACCCUAAAACCCUGCACUUUUUUAUUGCCUCUUACAUUAUUAUUUUGGUCAUGUAUGAAAUAUAUCAGGCAUCUCUCGGUACAGGUGAAAUGCUACAUGUUCUAAACUAAGGAAUAAGUGCAUUAUUAUAAUGUCUUCCUUGGCCAAACUGUAUAAAUCCCCCCCUCCGCCCGCCCCGGCCAACAUCCCUUCCCUGCUUUUUUUUUUCUUUCUUUCCUAGUGCUUACCUUCACCUAAAAUGUCCUAUAUUUUUACUUUUUUUUUCUGGUUAUUUUCUUUCUUUCUUUUUUUUUUUGACAGUCUUGCUCUGUCACCCAGGCUGGAGUGCAGUGGCGCGAUCUCGGCUCACUGCAACCUCCACCUCCCAGGUUCAAGCGAUUCUUCUGCCUCAGCCUCCCGAGUAACUGGAACUACAGGCCCGCGCCAUCAUGCCUGGCUAAUUUUUGUAUUUUUCUUUAGUGGAGACAGGGUUUCACCAUAUUGGCCAGGCUGGUCUUGAACUCCUGACCUCGUGAUCCGCCCGCCUCAGCCUCGCAAAGUGCUGGGAUUACAGGCCUGAGCCACCGAGCCUGGCCUCUUUCUUUCUUUUCUUUCUUUCUCUCUCUCUUUCUUUCCUUCUCUCUCUCUCUCUCGGCUGACCACCAAGCCUGAGUACUUUUUGUAUUUUUUGUAGAGAUGGGGUUUUGCCACAUUGCUCAGACUGGUCUCAACUGAUCAGCUCACUUCGGCCUCCCAAAGUGCUAGGAUUACAGGCAUGAGCCAUUGUGCUGGGCCUUUUUCUGGUUAUUUUCUCCCUGCCCACUAGAAUGUGAGUUCCAUAAGGGCAGGGCUGAAAGUUUUGUUGCUUUUUGCUACCGCUACUAUUUUUCAAGAAUUUGUAACCAGUGUACUUUGUGCGAGUACCUAGCACAUAGUAGCUGUUCAAUAAAUAUUUACUGAGUACAGCUAAUGAAUACUGAAUUACCGUGAAUAUUUUAAAUAAUUACUUGCUUUGUAAAGAAAUCUAUUUCUUCUCUCUGCCCAACUGCUGCUGCAUCGCCAUCACAGACACCAGCCAUGUGCAGCCUAUCUAGCUAGCCAGGGUCACCAAGGUCCUGGGCAGAACCAGCUCUCAGGGACAGUGCAUGCGGGAAUUUAUGGAAGACACAAGCCACUCCAUCAUCCACAGUGUAAAAGACCCCAUGCGCAAGGGCUAUGUGCUCACCCUGUUGGAGUCAGAGCGAGAGGCCUGGAGGUUGCACUGAGCUUGGCUGCUCACUGGGUCUUGGAUGUUGGGUUCGACCACUUGGUCCAUGAGAAUGCUGUGCCAUGAUCUGCUCCUUUAUUUUAUUUGCCAGCCGCACAGGAAUUGAGAUAUGCAUUUAAAUAAAGUGUUUGUGUGCCAAAUUAGAAAGAAAAGAAAGGAAAGAGACAAAGAAAGAAGAGAGAGAGAAAGAAAGAAAGAGAGAAAAAGAAAGGAAGGAAGGAAAAAAGGAGGGAGGAGAGAAGGAAGGAAAUCUUUUUUUAAAUUAUUAU